Molecule: long non-coding RNA, 44153 nt
Filed under: Malus domestica (apple)
Lineage: Eukaryota; Viridiplantae; Streptophyta; Magnoliopsida; Rosales; Rosaceae
Description: long non-coding RNA (MDOM_LNC007255)
Source: RNAcentral
AUUGGAAACCUGGAGAGGCUUGUGUACUUAAACGUGGAAGAUUGCACGAAUCUUAGGAUGCUUCCGAAGAACAUGUGUUUGCUUAAAUCACUUGAAACACUCAUUUUAUCGGGUUGCUCAAAUCUUGAUGAGUUUCCAAUGGAGAUGAUGAAGAAGAUAGCUCUGAAAGUUCUUGAAACAGAUGGAAUUCCAUUAAGUGAAUUAUGGACAGAAAGAAGUUCAAGUAUCUUGAGUUCUUUUCCAUGCUCUUUAGUAGGGUUGAGUCUAAAGGGGUGCAAUCUUUCUGAUGAUGCCUUUUGUAGGGAUUUAAGUAGUCUAUCCUCGUUGCGAAGACUAAAGUUAGGUGAGAAUCCAAUUUCCAGUCUGCCAGGUUUCAUCAAGGGUUUGAGGAGGCUCGAUAAACUCUCUUUCAAGGGUUGUGAUAGGCUCGAAUCGCUUGUGGGGUUGCCGAGAGUACACAAAAAGAUGGAUGUAUCCGAUUGCAUAUCAUUGAAAGAAGUAACAUAUCAAUCGUUUAGAGGGUUCCAACUAAAUGCCUUUGCGAGAGAAAACUACAACGUAGUUGAGUGGGAGUACCAUCACAAGUUAGAGCCUAUUGAUAGAGUUGAUGCAGAAAUGAUCAAACUUUUGGGCUUGUGCAACUUGGGAUCCAUGCCUGCAAUUCGAAUGAACAGCCCAAAGGGUUGCUUUCAUUCAAAAGAGGAUAGGUGGAGUCCCGUCCAGGUGCGCUCUCUCUCUCUCUCUCUCUCCCCCCUCUCCCUUUCUCUCAUAAGUCAAAUAUAUAAUGGGAAAUAAAUGACUCAGUAAUGUUGUGAUGAUCAUGGAAAAUGCAUAGGGACUCUAUCAAUUUGGUAUAUUCAGCACAUUUUUUGUUGGGAAUGAGGUUCCAGGCCAGUUCAGCUAUAAAAGUACCAAGUCCUCCAUAUCUUUUAUUGUCCCUUUACUCAUUGCUAGUCACAAAAUCCGAGGCUUAAACAUCUCUGCUACCUAUGCAAAUGAGGAGAAUUCUAAUUAUAUUGAUGAUGGUUAUAAACGUCCAAUAAUAAUCAAAGUGAGUAACAAGAGCAAGGGUCUGAAGUGGAUCUAUGUCCCAGCUUUCUACGGUAUUCCAGAAGAGGGAGAAGAUAUGAUAUGGUUAAGCCAUUGGAGGAUGGAGAGUGAAACAACAUUACAAUGUGGAGAUGAAGUGCUUGUUUUAGUACUCUUGAGCCUUGGUAAGUUUCAGCUCAAGGAGUUUGGUGUCGAGCUUGUGCAAGAGCACCAGAAUAAUAUGAUGAUAAGUACCCAACACAACAUCAAAUCAGAUCCUAAUUACCCUUUUGUCAUCGGUGGAGAUUUGUCCAUGUGGGAGUAUAUACCAGGAAUAUACUUCCUCGGUUGCGAUAAAGAAACUGUUGAAGACACUGAUGUCUUUUCGCAGAGAUUUUUAAAUUGCCUGAUCAUGGACACUGAUGAAGAAGACACAGGUAUGCUGUGUCGUUGUUGUAUUGCAAUGAAUUAUACUGCAUCCAAACACUUCCAAGUCCAUCUGUAUUCAAUCCAAAAACAUAAAUUUUAUGUUAUUUGUAUGUUUUUCAGACAAAGAAAAAGGGCAAGAGGAUGAACCUAAUUACACAAUUGCAAGGACGAGGGCUGCCAGUAACAACUGCAGCCUUGGAGGCUGGAAGGUGCUCCUCACAGCUGCCGGCUUAUUUUUCACGCUUGCUCUAGUAGUUCGGUCCUCCAUCUCCCAGAAAAAAAAGCGACUCUAGUCCACAAGCCAUCCAUGAGUUUGUAAUUUUAUUUGAUACAGACAUAUCUUUGGAUUCCCUCCUUGUUUUUAAGAUGUUUUCUGCCUUCAAAAUAUCGAAGUUCAAAUGUGUUCAAAAUCAUCAAAUAUUGCAUAAAAUACAUCCUACAUUAGCGAUGCUUAAAAUUUUUCUUCCCUGCCACUGAUUGCAUACAAUCAUGUACCAGAGAAGAUAAACAAAUGAUUCUAUAGCAGCAGUAAAUAAUUGGGAAAAAAAAAUGAUUCUAAACAUACAAGGGAAGGACUUUGACAUAGGUAUCUUUAGCAAUACCAGGCAAAAAUCAAUUCUUUGAACUGGGGGAAAAUAUUUUGGCACCGGGGAAAGUGAAAACAUCCUAUCUGCUUAUAAAUGUCAAAUUUACUGGUGUUAAUUGUCAUUUACAACAAAAUCAUGCUUCGUAAAAGAUUCGGCUCCCAUUGAAAAAUUAUGUAAAUUACAUAAAUAUCAGUACAACAGAUAUUAGAUUGACUAAUAUAUCAAAUAAAUUAAGAGCAGACAAUUUCUUAGCCUGCGAUCUAAGGACUAUACAGCUGAUUCAGCCUUGCGUUGCUACUACACUACGAAAGCUGGUUUCUGCUUCUUCAACCCGAACAAAUUAUUAAGGUCAGGAAGCAUAGGAGAAACGACCACGGUCUCUGGAGCCAUGAAAUUUUCUGUCUUCUCAUAAACAUUGUCACUGCUAGCUUGUUCCAUUUUUAAAGUUACAAAAACACAAAAACUUGAACAAUAGAAGUUCGGGAUCGAUUAGGUUCCAAGCCCACUAUAAGCUGAGCAAUACAGUGUCAUUGACUUCAAUGGCUGCAGAUACAGAUUGUUUGAAUAAAACUCUCCUCAUGACUCAGAUUUAGUUCUUAAAGUUGGUUAGACGAGUCCGAAUUGUCUGAAAAUCAUGUUCAUCAACUCCACAUAUCCAAAGCAGCAAAUUAAGGAGGAUACCGGACAUCACUUAGGACAAUACAAUCCUUAACAAUUUCCAAAAGCCACAGUUUUUAUAUGCAAUCUGAUUACAUGUGUUUUGAACUACAGGAAAUCUUAUAGAUUGGGUAAACCGUAUAUCAAAUUCAAAUGCAAUCAUUCAUAUAUGAAGUAUGAGAUGCCCAAUAGUUUUACCAAAAGUUGCUGGGUCAAUUGUCUCAAAACAUUCUUUUAGAAAUUGCUGGUAAAACUCAGAGUCAUCCAAGGGGUCACCAUCAGCUUUUGCACCAGCAUCAGAUUGUGUCUUAUCAGAGUGAAGGAAUAAAAGUACUUAACUUGUGCAAAUAGAAAUAUAACUUUUAUAACACAUCAAAGAGAUAAUUAAAGCAAACCUUACAGGCUACACAUCGAAGCGGCAAACGAAUACUAAUUUUAAACAUAAAGAUGCAAUUAAAGGUAAUGGCGCAUGAAGAGUAUUGAAACCGUCACAGUCCUCACACACAGGUUGCAUGAUCUUUUCUUGUAGCAAUAAAAGAAACAAAUUCAUCAAGUCACAUUGGGCCAUCCAAAAAGAAAAAUGAAGCAAAGUACCAAACACCACAAACAACCCAAAUUUGUUCAAACGUAGUAUCAAACUAAUUAUAGACUGCAUCCAUCCCAAACAAUUAAUUUGUACCUCAUUUGGGAGUUAAAAACUUACAACAGCACAUGGAAAAAACGUAAAUUCCAUGGACAUUCGAUUCCAAUGAACUUACAUGCAAUCAGUAUAGGAUUAUAGUUGACCACAAUUACAUGCAGUCAGUACCUCUCCCUUUGCAGAGUUGUACCCCUCAGGAACCUGCACAUCCACAACUUAUGUUUAAGUUAAUGUACAAAACUUAAGAAAGCCCCAUCUUGUUAUGAUGUUAAAAUUAUGAAGCAAAAAUGAGCAUGCACGUGACAGUCAAUAUCUUACAGGUACCAAAUACAGCAACUGCUGAUUUCCUCAUCUGCAUCUGCCUAACCAUUCUGCUUGGAUCUCUCAUAUAUGAAGCAACUUGUUCGCUAAUAUUCAGCGAUUGGGAAAGGAAAAAUGUAUUCCUGGUGAAUAUCUGGCAAAGCAUGGCACAAGUCCUUCAUAGGGAAAGGCAUGGUUACAAGUUCAAUUAUAGAGCCAGACUUGAUUAAAAGCAUGCAGUUUGCUUUUAAUAGCAGCAGCAUCUGUGGUCACCUCUGUCUUCCUCUGCCAUUUGUUUAUCAAUUUGUUUCUGAAAGUAGCAUUCUACAAGAUACAACGUGACAGGCCUUAGUUAGACCAAGUAACCAACAUGGAAAUGUAAACAAUAAUGAAAAGUUGAACAUAGUAGAACAAAUUUCUAAAAUUCAUGCAAGAGAAGUUGUCGGAGCAUGAAAGAAUUCACAGCAGAACUGCCCAAGAGUAUACUUAAAUUAAACAUAUGGCAACAUAGAUUUUUUACAAGUAUAAUUUACAAAUGCAUUCCAUGGUUCUUUGCCGGCCCCUUUAGAUAACUAAUUUAAUUUAGUGCCUAAUGGAAUUUAAAUUUCAGAAAACUAUCGUCUGGUAUAUUUCAUAUUAAAUAGUUGACAAACUUUAUAACAUAAUAGCGUCAUUUAUUAACUGAUACGAACCAUGUAGUAAAAUAUAACAAAAGUUAGACACCAAGGCAUUGAAAUACAGCAAUAAUAGUAAGGUACUUGAUUGAAUCCACCAUUUACGAGAAUUUUAACAAUAAAACAAUAAAACUUCGAAGUUCUUUUUGCUGCUCCAAAUGGAUCAGCGAAGUAUGGCAUGAAGAACGGAAAAAAAAAAUUCAGUUUUAUAGAUAGACUUCAAUACAGUAAGAGCAUAUGUACAUAGUAGAAUAUGAUUCUUCUUCUCAGAGUAUCUAAUUAUGAUUUGAGUACCUCGACAGCAACUCAGAAAUUCAUGACCAAUCCUCAUCACCAUCACCAUCACUGCCAAUGUUUUUAGAUGACUGUGACAUCUUAGAUCGUCCAGAUUUACCUACAGAACAGGAUAUGUAUUAGGAAAAGCAAUACAUGAACAUAUGCAGUAAGAAGUUAAUGAAAAUGCAAACAGUACAAAGUGGGACAGUCAAUUAGACCAUGGUAGCCCCAAUGCCAACUUUUUUUGCUAAAUGAUGCUAAGUUUUAUAUGAGAUCAAGCAGGAAAGAUAUGUAUUGACAUCCUAGGGGCUUUUUGAAAUCUGGCUUCAUCUUUGCUGUCCUUAGAUCAACAAAACAUGGCUGCCCAACCGAUUUACCUUCCAUGCCAACAUUAUGCUUUUGACAACUGCAACAAAUACCUACCUCUAUAGUGGUGAUUUAAUUGAUGUUUCUGUAAUCAAACUCCCAAAGUGUCUACUGUUUGUUGAAAACAACUGAAUUUCUGACCAAUUGGACUACUUUGAACUUCCCAAAGUGUAAUAUCUUUAGUAGAACAUAACCUGGUCAAUCCAGUAAGUUUUGUGCGAAACUCAUUGAAAUUCCUUACCAUUGAGGUAAACUUGUGGCUCAUUUUCUGCACAUUGAUGAGGCCGUUCCAACCCAGACUCAGCUUCACCUAUAGAAACAGAAAUUAACUAGGACAAAGCAACACGAUGCAUUGUCUCUCUUCAAGCUUGAGAAAAUGACAUACCUUGCAAGAACCCAAAGAACUUGACAUGUUCAUGCUCCGGCCAAUAAUAUCCAUCAGCAUAUGUCCAUUUUAGUACACGCCUAUAUUCAACUAUUUGAAAAUAGAGAAAAUUUAAUAAGAAAAAGCAGUAAACUCUUGGUAGAAAAGUGUGGUAAUUUGUGGUGUACCUGUAGCCAGGCCUCUGUAAUGAACUUCAACUGUGACUCAGGUUGGCACUACGGGCUGGUUUGGUAUUGCUGUGCUUUAAAAAAAAGCUGCUGUGAGAAUAAGCGGUUGUGCUGUGAGAAUAAGUGACUGUGAAAUAAAUCAGCAGAGCGUUUAGUAAACUUUUUUGUAAAAGUGGUUUUGGAAAAAAAGCAGUCUGAUAGUGGGUCUUUUCAUUAAAGGAGCACUGUAACUCCGUGAGCUUUGAAACAAAACCAGUUUUCCAAAGCUGCAAAUAGCAGCUUCAGUUUUUUCCUUUGAUUUCAGCUUAUUCUCACAGCAGCUUCCAAAAUAAGCCCUCACAGCUUUUUUUUUUUUUUUAAACACCGCACACCCACUCAUCUACCCCGCUCCCUUCCUUCUCUCCUUUCUCUCAUCUGCACUUUCUCUGUUACAGCUUCACUCUGUCCGGGAAGUCAUCGUCAAAAUCGACGAAGGCGCAGAUUCGUUCACAAGCACCAGCGACCUGCCAAAAGUGGCAGGAAGAUUUGGCGGCAGUCCAGCAUCGAUUUCUGGCACGAGGACGGCAACGGCGAUGCCGAGAAUUUUGAUUUCGUGCAGCGAGGGAAGACGGAGGAGGUGAAUGGGGAGGAUCCGCCGUCGAAGCUGAUUGCAGCGAGCCUCCGGCGAUAAGACGCUGGAUAUGGAUUUGGAGAUGGAGGAGCUGUAGCAGAACGAGCGCGAUUUGCCGCCCCUCGCCGAGUCGCCGAGUCCGAGAAACUUGUGCAACUCGAAGGAGCUCAAAGUCUCGUAUCAAUUGCCGGCGUCGGACCUCACCGAUACGCCGCAAACUGAGUCAGUUCAGAGGCGAUACAGAGAGUCCCCUGACGAGGAGCGACGCCGCAGCGAGAGGUUGGGCAACGGACAGGACGACGUCGUCCGGUGCACUUCCAACUCCUCAUUCCGCCGAGAGCCUUCGUUCUCGAACAAGUCCGAUUUGUUGAGAAUAAAGACCAAGUCCAGACUAAUCGACCCGCCGGAGGAGCCGGAUUUCAAGUCGGGUCGGAUCUCGCGAUCGGGACAGAUGAGGUCCGGGUUGCUGGGCCGCGGCGGCGACGACUCGACGACCCAUUUCUGGAGGAGGACGUGCCGCACGAGUACAAGAGAGCGAACUUCAACGCAUUGACGCUGCUUCAGUGGGUAAGCUUGGUUUUGAUCAUUGGGGCACUGGUUUGCACGCUGACGAUUCCAGUUCUGAGGGAGAAGAGGAGGGAGGGAAGAGGAGGGAGGGGGUCGGGAAGGGUGGGACAGGAUGCCCAGAAAAAAGUUUUUUUUUUUUUACUUUUUAAAAUUUUUUUUUUAAGCUUUUAUUGACGUGGCCGUCACGUCAUCAAUUAACAACUGACCGAACAUCCAACUUAACGGAUGUACAAAACUGUUCCAAAAAAUUAAGACAUGAGAUAUGAUUGGACUGAAAAUAACUUCAUGUACCAAAUAUUAAAAUUCACAAAAUUACAAGAUAGUAAACUGAGAUUAACCCAAAAAUAAAAAGAAAUUCAUGCACAUGAAGCCUAUGAUAAAUGUCAAUUAAUUGACAUUAAGUCAAAGAAAGUAUCUGCUAAAGCAUAUUCAGUUCUCCCGUCCUAUUCUGAUAACUGUCCGAACCAUGAAUAAGAUACGAUUGGAUCAUCAUCCAAGAAAUGGUACAGGUCGUUCGCAUCCUCAAAUAGAAUUUUCCUGGUGCAACAUAAAAGCAUUGUUGAAAGCGAAUCAGGAUUCUCUCCUGAGCACAUGGUCAGGAUCCUCCUGACCACGCCCAUCGGGUCGUUCAACUUUUAUCUAACGGUUAUAAUUAUUAUAACUUUUAGAGGGCCCCCUGUUUGUAGCAGUUGGAUAAAAUUUAAACGGUCCGAUGAGCCUGAUCAGGAGGAUCCUGACCAUGUGCUCAGGAGAGGAUCCUGAUUCGUUGAAAGCAACGGAAGAAAAUAUGUCAACAAUGGCAUAAUAUAUGUGAGGUAAGUUGGUUUGACAUGAAAAAAAAAAUUGUAAUUGUCCACUCAUAUUUCACGCCUUCAUUGUAUAAGAAAAAUGUCAGUCCAACCACUUGUAGAUCAAAUGAAAUUUUGCUUGAGUAUUUUUCUUUGAACUUCUUUCCACUCAAAAUUUCCUAGCAAUAAAAAACAAAGUGAAAGAGAAUAUAAAGGCGCUUCAAGGCAAACUUCAAGGACUCGCUCAAGAACAUUAUGCAAAAAAGAGUUUGCAUGCAAGCUUUCUCCAAAUUCAAUAGCCUACAUUAUAACAGAAAUAGAAGGGUAAAAGGGAAGAGUUAAUAAAAAUAAGAUUAGCUAGCAAUUUGUUUUGCAUAUAUAUUAGAUACAACACACUUGAUGAAAUCAUUUCUUGCAUAUGAGAUACAACAUUGUCAUUUAACUGCAUACACAGUGCUACAGCCUCUCAAUUUGCUUUUAAGACAGGCAUCCCAAGAAGUUCCUAUAAAACCACCUUUAGUAAAUAUCUGAUAAGCACUCAUAAUGCCUCACCAACAAACCAAAAGGUAUCUAUGUUGAACAAAGAAAUAAAACAUAUUCAAAAGAAUUAAACUGAUUGCAAAAUUUUCAGGGAAGAAAGCUGAUCACAGAAGUUUAGCCAAAUGAACACAAGUUGCCAAAAAAAAAAAAAAGUAUGUAUAAGCAUGGAUACUCAGUCAACUACUAAAUAAUGAGCAAACGAAAGGUCUGCAAUUAGGUACAAAAAAGGGCCAUUGCACCAAAAUAAUAAUAAAAAAUACAAACCACAUUUUUUAAAUUGAUAACAAAAGCAUAACAUCUGAAACACCAUUUUCAGCCAUAUGCAAACUCGAUGAAUCAAUACCAGAGAAACGAAAAAACCUUGCAAUCCUCACCUGCAAAUUCAGAGGCGAUGGAGUUCCGUUACCCACAAAGACCAUAAAUGCACCAAACAGAAUAAACACAACAAUAAUUAAGCUUACUCUCAAUUCAAAGCCUCAAUCUUUAUCUAAGCUAAGCAACAACAAAAAAAGGCAUUGUAAAAAGCAACAGAAAAAUUACUGAGAGUAACGUAAUUUAUACCAAUAAAUUACCAUUCAAAUUCAAUUUUGAAGUAACCCACCCCAGUUACCCCACCACAUUUCCGAAAGACUAAACAAAAACACAACAAACUCACCCCAAAUUUUCCAUUUUAUUCGCUAUCUUUCAAUCAAUCAAACGUACCCUUUAAACUUUUUCAUCAAACAUUAUAUAAACAAAUUAAAAUCCUAAUUCCAAAACAAACCCCUGUUUUAAAAAUUUCUUAUCUGUCUUCAUAAAGCAAUCAGAAAAUGCAAGCGCACAAACAAAUUACGGAACCUUGGGGAAGAGAUUGAUGGUACAGAAGACGGAUAACCUGAGGUGGGAGCUUCGUGCACCAUCCUUGGCUGUUUCGUGUUGUACGAUUAAAAAGGAGAGCAAAACGGAAAACAAAAACCGAAGAUCACUUCGCAUCAGCUCUCGAUUUCCCCAUAUUCAGCUAAACCGCAAUAACCUAUGAGAAUCGUUCAAAAACGAAAAAACCCCGAUAUAUAUAAAAGAAAAAGUCGGAUUUGAGGAAAAUAGAGAUGAAAAAAAUACCCAGAAGAAGGAGAGGAUGAGACGCUGUAUAAUGCAGAAUGAGAAAGGAGGGAGGCACUCGAGAACAACGUUUUAGUUUUCUGAGAAAGAAAACUCCAGAAGCAGAGGAAGAGCGCUCACCGGUCCACUUCCCUUCUACGAUGGCUGACACCCAGACCGAAGAGGCAAAUCAGUAAAUGGCUCAUUUUACUAUUCCAUCGAUUAAAACUUUAUUUCUUUUUAAUUUUUUUAUCAAGAUUUUUGGAUUAUUUUUUAUUUUUAAAUAUAUUUCUUUAAUGUUAAAAAUGUUACUAUUAAUAUAUUUAUAUUUAUGAUUAAAAAUUUUAUCAUAUAUUUUGUUUUUUAGUUUGUAUCCACUUUUAAUUUGCAACCUUUAUUUUAAAUUUGUAGUAUUUUCUUUUUAGUUUUAAUUUGUACCAUGUAAUUUUUUUUCGCGCCCAUAUUUUUAAAAUUUUCAUUUGUACUCAUAAUUUUUUAAUCUUUUUGUUAUAUGUGUGUUUGGGCCCAAAAUAAUAGUUUGGACCGAGGGUAGGAUCAUACUCGGCCCGGGAGGCCGUGCGGCAAAAGGACCAUGGAUCGUUCAGCUCGUGGGCUUCCAAGCCUAGGUUAGUUAGAUCAGAACGCAAGUCGAGUCCUAGUACAAUAGGGAGUCUCGACGAGAUCAAUAAUCCAGAAAGCGAAUCCGGCUCAGUUAAGGACUAGAUUCAUAGUCCUAGUGAAGAUAGGACUGGUCGAGGUGUUGUUGACCCGGAAAGGGAGACCUAAUCCGAGUAGGAGUUUAACUCGGAUUCAAGGUCCAGUGCUAUAAAUAGGGGAGGCUAUGCGUCAGUGAAGGGCUCCAACUCAACACACAAAACUGCCCUGCGCAAACUCUCUCAACAACUUGAGAUUUUUAUUUUCUCUUUUCGCUGACACAUCUUCCGUUGGCAUCAACAGCACUGUGAAAGCAACUGGUGACAUCUUAAGUCGGCAUAGAUAGCUCUGUCAUCGUAGAAUCAGUCGGUCUCGCAGUAUCUUCCGUUGGCAUCAACAGCACUGCGGCGAGGACGGUUGGUUAUCUAUCCAAGUCUCGGUCGAGAAGGAUUUCUGAAUCCUUAUUGAUUGAGGUCGUCUUAUUAGCUUUCUCGGCGAAGUAAGGCGUUACAUUAGGCUCGGCACAUUGCACGCCGAGGUUGUUCAUGAUUGGAUACUCACAGGUGGGAUUUAGAGUUCGGCAUUCCAACGGCCGAACCACGUUCAUUAUCAAGACUUACGUCCGUUUUGAGUAUCUGUGCCCCUACACCUUGGUGUUUAUUCGGCGUGAGUUUACUCUGACGAAUACUAUCACUGUGACCGAAUCUGACGACGACGACUCGUGAACUUCGUAAAAAUAGUAGCCUUGUCUUCAGGCUUGAGAACCCAAGAGGCCGAGGUGUGUUCCUUUCUCGGCCGCAGUCGCAAGACACAGAAGUUAGCCGCGCACCCAACGCAACAUCAACAAAUUUACUCCUCGGCCGAGCUCGGCCGACGAGUUGGCACGCCCCGCAUUCACCGAAGGACGUAGUUAGCUUAUAGAUUACUCGGCCUGCGCGCCACGUAGGCUUUGUAGUUUUUAGGGUCAACAAUGUGAAAUGUACCAAUUUUUUUUAACACUAUACAUUCUUUUGCCAUUUAUUAUUUCUAAUUGUUACAUAGUUUUUAUCCAUUUAUUCAAUCAAAAUGUUUGAAUUUUUUUAAUGUAACCUUCUAUGACACACCCCGUCCUAAGGAGGGCGUGACAGAUUGCUAGUGAUUCAGUUUUUAUUUAUGCGUAUUUCUAUUUAUCUUCUCAGCUUCCGCACUGUGCAUAUGGUUACGUCACGCUCACGUGACGCCUAGCACGCCCUCUUAGGACGGGGUGUGUCAUUUUAUAAUAGUAUUAUAAAGAGGGAUUUUAAAUUUAUUGGAUUAUAAUUCUCAUAAAAUAUCAAACAAUUAAUGUCAAAACUAUAAAAAAAAUAUAAAUAUUAAUAGUAAUAUAAUGAGGUGUACAAAGUCAAUGGACUUUGAUCAAACUCUGAAUAUCAUUAGGGUGCGUUUGUUGCACCGGACUGUCUCGGACUGGACUAGCUGCAGGGACUAAGCUGGACUGGCUUAGACUAGCUUAGUGAAGCGUUUGGUGCAGUGUCGAACUAAAAAACAGAAUAAUAAAAAUUAAUUCACUUUUUAUUUGUUAUUUUUUUGGUUUUCUAGAAUCCCCUAUUUUGGUCAAACUAUUUCCUUCUUUUUCUCCCAUGUCUCUUCCCUUUUCCUUAUCCUGUUCGACUCUCUCUCCCUCCCUCCCUCCCUCUUCACUUCCUCUCACAACUUCAUAAUCUACUGCAAACCUUCAAAAUCAAACCACAUAGCAAAAAAUAAAGUGAAAAUUUAGGAGUUGGGGUUGGGGUGCAUGUGUGAUUGCCUCGAAGGUGGGAGAUGGAUAAGGUUUGCAAUCAGGGAGUUUCAUGUUUUCUGGGUUUGGUUUUCCUUCAGUCAAUCCCAUCGUUGAUUUGAGCUUAUACCCACUGCAGAUUUUGUGUGUGUGUGUGUGUUUUAUAGGUUUCUGGGUUCGGUUUUCUGGGUUCUAUUUUGCAGGUUGGAUCUGGAUUUGAAAAAUGGAAUGACUGCAUAUUUUUUUUGUUUUGAAUUUUGCGGGAUAUGGGUUUGAAAAUGGUUGUGGAAGCGAGGAAGAAGCAGAUGGGAGGGGCGAAGUGAGGAAAGGCGAAGCGGACAGAUGUGGUCUUAGCAGUCCGCCCAAUUUUGGGGGGCCUUGCGAAGCCCCUCUAGCAAAUCGUUUAGUCAGGGUUAGUGUAGGCGAGUCUCAUUAACGCUAGUCCGUGUGUGAAACAAACACAGGAUUACAGUGACAGUUAGUCCAGUCCAAGCUAGCGAAAGCUAGCGAGCUCAAACAAACACACCCUUAAGGUUUUAAUCAAAGAAUGUUAGGGACUAGGGACCGCAUCCAAAGUAUCUAUUAGUAAAUUUACUAUGCCGUGUAGGGAAAAAGGCUGAAAACAGGUAACGAUUGAAGGGGAAAUCCGUCCACACACUAUAGAUUAAUAGUGCCAACCCAAAACUAGGUUUUAGUAUAUAUAUAUAUAUAUUUUUAUAUUUGGAUCUUAAAAAGUGAUGUAUUUGGAUCUUAAAAACUCAAAUUCUAGAACUCGUUUUGAGUUUUAAAAUUUGAGUCCUUGCACUGGAGGAGAAGAAAUUGGACUCAAAAUUCAUAUUUGAAUUUUAACAAGUUGGUUGUGUAUUGGAGAUUAUUGGACUCAAAUCUCAUUAUUCUUGGUUGAGUAACAAUUUUCUUAGUUGGCAUGGGCUCCACUUUCAACUCAAAUCUCAUAUUGAAACUCAAAUUGGGUCUCCAUUCCCCCAGAGACAUAAAUAUGAGUUUUAAGCGAAGUGUAGUCAAUUUGGAUUUCAUAGGAUUUUAAUAGAUUUUGUUAAGGGACAUAUUUUAAAAGAUUUUAAUAGAUUUUACAAUUCUAUAUGGAUUUUGAAAGAUUUAUAUGAAUUUCCAUUAUAAUUUUCUAUGGAUUGUAUGAACUUUUUUCAUGGAUUUCUUAGGAUUUAUGUGGACAUUUUCACGGAUUUAUAUCAAAGUUACAAGUGGCUAAUAUAUUUCUUCCCAAAUUUUUAUCGAAUCACAUCUCAUAACACAUCAACCCAAAAUCUUAGUAGCAUCAAAUUCAUGUCAAAAAUUGCCACAACAUUACACACAUUAUACGAAAAGCAAUUAAAACCAACAGAAACUUCAUUAGACGAAAGGCGGAGGAAAAAAACUCAACCGAUUCGUCAGAUACUUCUUGAGGCAUUUAAACAAACAACUUGUAGGCCAAAAUUGCAUAACCCUAGUUCACCAAACCAGUACAGGGAAUUCCCGAAAAACAAUUUCUUUCCACUUUCUGAUUAAAAAAAAAAAACCCAAUUGCCAUUUUCACGUAUUGACACCAGAUCAAAACGAAAAACCCAAAAUUUUUCAAUUGCAUUCAUCUAACCUACCAAAAAAUUGUUACAGUUACGAUAAUUUAAAUUCUUUUCGAUACUUCAAAAAAAAUUGCAAAUAAGAAGUGGAUUAAGAAGAACACGAAUUAUAAAGCAAAACAACAUAAAGAUAAAAAUAUAAAGAUACAAUUGUUACUCAUCUUCCCAGAGGAACAAACCAAAUGCAGAAAAAAAUACAGCAAAAAUGCGAAAUGCAAGUUUAUAGGGAGGAAUGCUCGGAACUCAGGCUAGGACUAUUCAUCUUCUAUGGUUUGGAAUGAAAAAAAAAAUCAGACGGGGAGGGUUGGAUUGUUGAUGGCAUUUGGUAUUUAUACCACCCACUCUCAAAUCCAUCAAAAUCAUUCAUCCACCAAAAUUCUAGUAAAUCUUUGGCAUUCCCACUACACUUAGAUUUGUAUGGACAUUUUAAAAUUUUAAUUGACUACCCAUAGAUUUGGAUGUAUUAUUUAAAUCCUCUCAAAUCCUGAUUUGACUAAACUCUGAUUUUAAAAUCUUUUAAAAUCCACCUUCAAACUCCUAAUGGACUACACUCUAAUUUUAAAAUUUAUUAAAAUACCAUCAAAUCCAAAUUUGACUACACCCUUAAGUCUCUGGUGCAUUGGAGAACCUUUAGACUCCUAUGUAGAUCAAAUAUAAGAUUUGAGUCCAAAUUUUUUGGUGCAUCAGAGAUGCUUAGUGUGCUCGAAAUAUAAGGCGGUCAAGAUUGAAUUAAACGAUCAAGAUUGAAUUGAGAAAUGACGAUCAAGAUUGAACUAAGAAAAUGGAUUACCCAGUAAUUCAAAUUAUUGAAGACUGACCUAUAUUGGACUACCCAGUAAUUCAAACUAAUGAAGAUUUACCCAUAAAAUGAGACAUUAAUCUUGUCGUCCUUGGAGUACACGUACAAAUUUCUAGGGUAGUGCUAUCACACACCUAUUUUUACUUUUCAUACACCCCUCUCAAUUUUCGGACGUCGGAUAGAAUGAGUUGAAGAAGAACAAUGGCAAAAAAUUAAUAAGGAUGUGUAAGAAGUAAAAAUGGGUGUGUGAAGAACAUUUUUCCAAUUUCUAAUGAUUUAGCUCUUUGAUUUGAACCAUGAGAUAAGCAUGUGGUCUUCAUCAAGGUAAUGGAGUGGCGCGUGAGGAUCGUGUAAAAGAUUGAAAACCAAGAAACGAGAGGGUAUCAAAUGAUUGAGAGAAGUGUGUCUGGUUAGGACAACGAACUUUUAUAUUGACAGAUCUUUCCCAGCGACCGCCCAUAACUUUGAGCGGAAGUGACUAUAAAUUCUUGACCAUAUCACCAAGCAAUCGAAAUUCGUUAUUUUAAAUGGAAUUGCACAGAUAAUUCAUGUGAUUGUAGAGAGAUGUCUCAAAAUAAUCUGAAAGAUUUAAGAAUACUCAUGUGGUGGAAUUAAUUUUCUCAGUUCAAAUUGAGACAAUUGUGAUGUUGAAGGUUGGUAACGUACAAAAGGGAAAAGAAGGAGAGGCCGAAGGGCACGUCAACGACUCAAUGCACAAUAAAGAGAAAGAUCGGUUGUGUUUAAUUCCAAUCAAUUUUUGUCACAAUAAAGAGAAAGAUCGGUUGUGUUUAAUUCCAAUCAAUUUUUGUCAAAUGUGUGGUUUGUGUUCCUGGGUUUAUGCUUAGUGUGUAACUUUUUGACAGAACUUGAGCGAAGAUUGUUAUCGAAACAAAUUUCCGCCGUCUCUUCAUUUGACGAAAAUGCACCUACAAAAUAAUAACGCCUAAGAUUUGUUGGAAAUUAAAUAUUAUAAUUUAAAGGGUGCCGCAAGGGGCGCCAUCCCCUUUAGUGAUGUGUCUGUUAAAGGGUAUUACUUAAACUACCUAAACCCUAAAUGAUACAUCUCUUCGGCAAACAAUAUAUUUGAGUUCUAUAAAAACUCAAAAACUAUUGUCUUUUAAGAUAUAGAAUUAAGAAAAGAGUUUCCUCCAAUGUCUUAGUAAAAAUCCGAGUCGUGUCUUGAGAGUACGGUAUAUAUGAAGUUCGCCAGAGUCUGAAGAUUGAAGUGCUUUGACUUUGGAUUAUAGAUUGUUGAAUCCUAGGUGACGGACACCUACCGAACUACAAGCACAAGGGUAGGGGCGAAAUUCUGUCUUUAGAACAUUGCAUUUAUGCAAGCCUCAAUUUCUAAGUUUGUCAGUUUUUCUAACUAUAUCUUUAGUUGUUUAUAUGAAUUUUGUAUACUAUUGAUGUUGUGAAUUUCUUUAUGAUUAUUAUUAUUGAAAUUUUUGUGUUAUUUCCAUAUUUUCUAUUAUUGCUUGUAUAUAUAGUGUACAAAACAACACAAGAAUUUUGGGAUUUAUUGAUGAUGAUGAUGAAGAUAGAAGGUUAUUUGUCUUAUAUAUAUUUAUUAGAAAUUAUAAUCUAACUGCUUUUAAAUUAAUCUUAGUUUGAAUUUGAUUUCUCUUGGCAUUCUAGGCAUGUCACGAUCAGGCAAUGUUUUAAAGUUUGAGGCCUGGUAAAAUUAUGCAUGUUGCCACUGUUGUUGAUGUUGUUGUUAAUUAUAUAAAUUGUAUGAUAUAUAGAAAUCUCAUACUUGGCUACUACUCUAUGUACAUGUCUUUUUUAACUGCUUUACAUAGAAAUUAAAAGAUGGAGAUUCUAGUUUCCAGAAAGAUACAGUGAUAACAAUUUUUAUUAUAUGGGUACUGGAAUUAUUAUAAGAUCUGUUUAAAAUCCAUGUUUAGUGUUUGUCUCCUUUUUAUGAAGAAAGGUGUCGAUUAAGGCCAAGUGAAAUGGUAUGAUUGUGAGGAUGUGAAGACAAAAGGGGUUCCACAUCGGUGAAAAGAGAAACAUAACAAGACCUUAUAAGGAAUUGGGUUGUUCUCCAUAUUGUCAAUUGGUUAUGUGUUGGAAUCCCAACUUUCUUCAAUAGUCAUACAAAAUUGGCAUUAUUUGCAAAUCUAAAAGGGUCAUAAUGUACCAGUUCGUGGACUGAUGCAAUAUUUCUUUCGUGGGACAAAGGAGAUCAAUAUUUGAUCGGGCACGAGGAUGAUUAAUAGGUUUUUGUUGAGAAAACCCUUAUAUUCAUCAAGAUGUCAGCGAAAGCUCUUGAUGAAGAGUGAAUACCCAAAUAAAAUGGGGUUGUUUUAAAUUUGUAUUGAAAUAGUUGGAAAACGCCAGUACAAGAUAUGAACCCAACUUCCAUGGUAUCAUGGAAUAUAAGAUGAGUGCAGACUACUCAUAUAUAAGUGUCCAUUCAUGGAAAGAAUGGAAUACGUACGAAGAAAAUUGAACAAUUACUCAGGCAUAUAUGUGCAUAUGCAAAAUUGGGUCUAGCCUUCAUUAAUGAUAAGAACCCAGAAAGUGGAUGAAUUUGGCUUUGAGAAGCAACAAAAAUAAACUGAUAAACUGAACUCAUUUUAGAUGAGUUAUCUAUCAACGUCGAAAGAUGCUUAUUUAAUUAUGGGGUCAAGGUCCAAGACUUAUAUUGAACCAUGUGGCGGUUAAGUUGCAAAAAGAUGCAACUAUUUAACAAAUGGAUGGUUUUGUAAUGUGGUGGAAUUGGAAAUUGAAAUCUACCAUGUGAGAUUCAAAGAAAAAGCAUGUCAUUUGAAGUGCUGUUUUUGACAGUGAAAGGGUAUGCCACUGCCUCCAAAAUGAUAGAUUUUGCUCCUUUUCUGUCCCCAUAUGCGCAUUGCCAUGCACUUGGACAAUUUUUCCACGUCUAGUGCAUACAAUCGAUGCUUCCUAUCAUCCCAGGAAAACCUCGCAUCUCGCCCUUCUUCAGAAGCCUUUGCAAGUCCAUAUGAGUAGGUCUUCGGAGGUACUCUGCGGUGUACAAAGAUUUGACUGCUCCGCAAAACCUCAUCAGGGCCUCAAGAAUGGUUGAUUUCCCCAUCCUCGUUAUCUCAUCCACUUGGUCUGCAUAUCCUUCAUACGCAAGCAUCCGCAAUGCAUCAGUGAUUUUUUGCUGAGGCAGGAGACCCAUAACACCACAAGCAUCCUUCUUUUGCACAAAGUAAGAAUCAUGGUUGCAAACAUCAGUCAUGAUUCUGUUGAACAAAUGUCGUUCCAUUCUAAAACGGCGUCUGAAGCACGUAUCAGGAAAUGCACUGUUAUGGACAAAAUAAUCAUCCAACAGCUCUUCACCCUGUCGUUGCCUGCUUCUAUCAAGGUUUCUUGAACGGUUGGGCCUGCAUAUCUGAGCAACAGUCUGGAUGACUCGACGGGAAUGUGAGGUUCUGGCCAUUCUUGUUUCGUCAUCUCUCCUUCUACGCUCCUCAUCCUCUUCCAUCUCAUUUUCGGCUAUCUGAAGGUUGAACAUUCCUUCAGAUUGGUUAAACAAUUUUUCCUCUUGCUGAUCGAUUUCCCACAUCAUCCUUGAUGAAGAAAAAGACAUUGUAAGGAUGGAUGGUGAAGAAGAAGCAUAAACUAUGAAUAAUUAGAUUGAGAUGUUGAGAAAAUUGGUGUGAGAUUUGUGAGGAUGGAUGGUGGAUUAUAUGGACGAUUCAAAAAGGAUUGGAUUGUAGAUAAGGCCACGUGGCAUGCCAUUAUUCGUUAAAAAUAUGAUCGAAAUCUAUCCUCAAAGAUUCUGAAAAGAUGAUGACACGUGGCACGAUCGUAUUGGAUAAAAAUCUUAUCGAUAUCAAUCUCCAAUAAUUAUCUUUUCGGAUAAUGACACGUGGCGCAAUUUUGAACGAGUUAAAAUUUGAUCGAAAUCUAUCGUCAAAGAUUCUCAAAAGAUAACGACACGUGGCACGAUGACAUUGGAUAAAAAUCUUAUCGAAAUCCAUCGCUAAAUAAUUGUUUUUUUUAUAAAAUGACACGUGGCGCAACGAGAACGAUUUAAAAAAUCUUAUCCGAAAUUACAAAUAAUUUUAUUUUGUAUUAUUUAAACAAACAAAAAAAACUAAUAUUUUAUUGCCUAUUGCCAGGGGGAAGGCUCCAAUGGUGGAGAUGCAAAUGGCAAUUACUGUUCAUUAAUGACAGUUACUAUUCAUUAAAGGCAGUUACUGUUCAAUAUGGUGGAUUCAAUAGUGGAUUGCCAGGAGGGAGGGUUCCAUGAGUGGAGUUGCUCUUAAUGCUGGAAAUGUUUUUCUCCUUAAUUGUAUUGGGAACGGUUUGGACUAGAGGUUUUUUUUUGAGUUAAGUGUCGGAUUGUCCCCGUGAAUAGUCAUUCCUAAACCAUUUGUGUGGGCUUAAAUUCUUUGUAAUUAGUUUAAAGCAACGUCGCUUGUAAUAAAAAAACAUUAUAUAAAGCAACGUCGCUUGUUCAUUUUUUGAACUGUUGCAAAGUUUGCAACUACUUAUUAAUCUUUGAAACUAUAAGAGCUGUCUUAUUAUACUUUUUAUAUGCUACUUUCCUCCAUCGUCAUUUCUCUCCUUGCAUUUUAUGACUAACUAGCUAGCCAAAAUGUAAAUGCCAAAAGAUUGUUGGAGCCAAAUAAUAAAGUUCAACUCUAAUUGAAUUACUUAGUUAUAAUUGAUUUGAAUUAGGGUCAGAGUUUUAAUUAGUUAGCUAUUCCUUGUGCCAAAAAGAAAAGUGAAAUCCGUAUAUUCCUUCCUGUUGGUUAUAUGGGGUUCUUAUGUGGAAUACAUUUUCAUGGGCUUUAUAAGUACGGUUUAUAGCAGCCGCCAGUGAGUAUAAUUCUAGGAACUUGAAACUUAUAUAAAAUUGAGGCCCUAUGCACACUGCUAACACCACAAUAGCAAGAACUCCCCAUCAGUUUAUUGUAUAAGGAGCAACAGUGCAUAGAAGUGCUUCAAUCUAUUCCGUCCUGAAGUUUGAUCAUCCAUAAAUUCAUCAUGUUGUCUUCUCAGGUAUGCAAGGUUUACGUGUUUUGAUUUGAUGAACUGAUAAAGUUUACAAAGAUUUGGAGUUAAGUUGGUUAUUAAGAGUGUUUGACAAAUAAAUUACACAUGAGUCUUGCGUAGUCAAGGAACUUAUAUGAACAUGAAUUUGAAAAUUGUGAGUGUGCCACUACUUGUUCCCGCUAAUAGACUAUAUGAUGAAAAAUUGUACUAUUUAACUUCUAACUAAAAUGAAGAGGCUCAACUUAAAUUCUUUCUUUGUCUUACUUAUUUAAGAACUCCUCUUACAUAGAUAUAGAACAAGGUGAAAAUUAUUGGAAUAUGAAUUGAUAUGAAUUUGGUUAUAUAUAUAUAUAUUCAAUGAUAUUCAAUUGCAAUAGAAAAGAGCUGCAUUUAAAUUGAUUAAAUAAGGGAUUUGAUAUAAUGCGGCCACCGCCUAAAACAUCUUCUCCCCAUCGACCAACGCCCAAACAAAAGGAAGACUAUUCCUUUAUUGCCAAAGCAAGUCUAAGAAUUUCUCUUUUUCAAUAUUUGUUGUAUCAAACGAAAUAGUUUAUCAUCCAAAUCAUGCUUUACAAAUCAAACCUCCCUUUCCAAGCAUACAAUUCAAAAACAAAAAAUUUAGAAAAAAAAAAGGUUUGAUCUUAAGAAUGAUCGCAAACAAGCGAGCCAAGAACAGACAGGCUUUGGGCUUUUUAUUUUUUAUUAAUUCAACGUAUUACAAAAAAAAUAUUUUGGAGCUGCUUUGUCAGUAUAUAUUUGAAAACAAAGGGAAAGGGACACAGAUGUAGUUGGUUAAGAUGCUUCUCGAUUAGCUAUGAAAUCUUUAUACGUGCAUGGGUGUUGGCUGGUCAAUUUCUCACCUGCUCAAGCAUGCAUAAGCUCAGGUUCUAAAGUAUAAUUUAUACCCUGGAACUAGCAAAUUAAACUGUUUUUUAUGCUUUGACUAUAUACUAUAGUCUGUUUGUCCGUCCUAAAUAAAUAUUUUGUUAUAAAUAUGAUAUAUAUUUUUUCUCUCAAAACUGUUACGUAUGUGAUCAAUUCAAAAAGCACUACAAUUUAGCUUGUCAAAUGAAAAGUUUGAAGCGGUAGGUGUUAAGUUCGAGUUAUCUAAAUUAUGAGUUUGAUAUCUAAUUAUUAUAGCUGAUUUAUUAUGUGACUUAACUGAAUCCGUUAACCAUUAGGGUUUAUUGUUUAUACAGAAAAAAAAAGUUUGUUGUUGGGCUACUUAGUGAUCAACUUGCUAUAUCAUCAUGUUCAUGUGCCAUAUUUUGUUAUUGCCUAAUCACCUGUUCUUGUAACAGUCGUCUUGUUUAUCCAGAGACGGACCUUGGAUUUCAAAGUUGUCUGAGCUAAAUUUACCUCACAUACAAUACAAGAGAUAAAGGAGAGGAAAUUACUUUGUCACAGCUACACGAAACUAAUGUAUUUGGGAUAGGAUCUUCAGCCAUUACUGCUAGAAAUGCUCUUCUCGUCGGUUGUAUUUGGAACAAUUGAACUGGAGGUUUCUCUAUUUAGUUAAGUUACUUUCCAACCAUUUGCGUUUCAAAUCCUCUUCCUCCUCUUAGUCUAGUUUAAAGCAAUGUCACUUGUAAUAAAGAACAAUAUAAAACCCAAUUAGUCAAUAUUUAUGACAUGUUUACUUCAAGUAAAGAUACAUAAACCGUUGGAGCAAGGGAAUAAGCAAAAUAAAUCUGUUUAACUAGCCACCUAGUUUAUAUAAUUCUUAAUUUUCAGAUAUUAACUUAUAAGCUUUCAGGCGGGAGUUGUCCACACCUAGACGGAUUUCAUUUGUAUUAAAACAACAAAAUUUAAAAAAUCAGAAUGAUUUGAAUUCUCAUAUACAUGUCAUUAACAUUAAAAUUUGAAACAUAAACCCAAUAUGACGCAUUUUAUGGUCUAAUUGUAAUAAACUUACGAUGUAGUUCACCACAUGAUGUGCAUAAUUAAAAUAAGGCCCAAUGUUAGCGUACUUCUUACUCGCCCAAGCCCAAAACUAGAGUUGAGUUCGGUUUCAAUCUGUUCAGUUUUUUGUCAAAACCAUAACUAAACCAAAAUUUCGAUUCGGUUUAAUACUUUUAGGUUUUUGUUCGAUUCAGUUUAAUUUUAGUUUGGUUUGUUAAUGUUAGCGUACUUCCCAAUGCUCCCUCUUUUGUCUUCUUCCUUACUUGGCUUCGCGCUGAUUCGUUUGAACCUGCAAACGACCACGGACGGCUUUUCCGAAACCUUAGUUACGUCUCGUAUGAGCCCGAAACAAAAAGCCGAACAUUCUUCUCGCAACCAAAAUAUCAUCCGACCGGAGAAAAGUUAAGCACAGCAGAAAUGGAUCUGAGAGAAAGCGUCAUCAACCAAAACGACUUCGCUCUGGGGCUGACGAAGCAGCUGCUUCAGACCGAAGGCAAGCAAUCGAACCUCGUGUACUCGCCGGUGUCCAUCCACGUGCUGUUGAGCCUGAUCGCGGCCGGCUCAAAGGGUCCGACUCAGGACCAGCUGCUGUCUUUUCUCAAAUCAAAGUCCACCGACCACCUCAACUCCUUCGCCGCCGAGCUCGUGUCCAUGAUCUUCUCCGAUGGGUCCCCUAGCGGCGGCCCCCAGCUGUCGUUUGCUAAUGGGGUUUGGGUGGACGGGUGUCUCCCUCUGAAGCCUUCUUUUAAGCAGGUGGUGGACACCUCUUACAUGGCUGCUCUUGCCCAAGUCGAUUUUCAGACCAAUGUAAGCUCUCAAACCCACUGUCCUGUCGUUUCGAUUGUCUUUUUUUCCGAGGAUGCUCUUGAUCAAAGUCUUCAAUUUUUUCGAUGUGAUUAGAGAUGCUUGUUCCUUUGUUGAACCUAAAUUGUAGGCCUGCUGAAUCUCUUUUACUUGUAGCAUUUCAACUAAAAAUUUCCUUUCUCUAAUCAUUAAUGUUUGUGCUUGUUAGCUAUUACAGAAUCAUAUCGUAAUUCGUAGAUUUUUGUUAUAGUACGAUCAUCACUAGGUUAAUAGUAUUGAAGUAACAUGCAGGCUGAUAUAUCAUUGUUUUCUAACUUGUCGUAACUGUUGCUGGUGCUCGAGGCUGCUCAAGUGGCCUCGGGAGUGAAUUCAUGGGCUGAAAAGGAGACGAGAGGCCUUAUCAAGGAGGUACUUCCUCCCGGGUCAGUUGACAGCUCAACCAGGCUCAUCUUUGCAAAUGCGUUAUACUUCAAAGGAGCUUGGACUGAAAAGUUUGAUGCAUCACAAACGAAAGAGCAUGAUUUCUACCUUCUCGAUGGGAGCACAGUUAAGGUGGCCUUCAUGACCAGCAGGAAGAAGCAGUAUGUAAGAUCCUUCAAUGGUUUCUCAGUCUUAGGGCUUCAUUACAAGCAAGGUGAAGACAAGCGAUGUUUCUCCAUGCACAUGUUUCUCCCAGAGGCGAAAGAUGGGCUGCCAGCUUUGGUUGAGAAACUUGGUUCUGAGUCCGGGUUUUUGGAUCGCCAUCUUCCUAACCAAAAAUUUGCAGUGGGUGAUUUCAGGAUUCCAAAGUUUAAGAUUUCAUUUGGGUUUGAAGCUUCCAAUGUCCUUAAAGGUCUUGGCUUGGUGCUGCCAUUCGGUGGCGGAGGAGGUUUGACAGAGAUGGUGGACUCGCCUGUGGGUAAGAACUUGUACGUUUCCGGCAUAUUCCAUAAGUCGUUCAUCGAAGUGAACGAAGAAGGCACAGAAGCUGCAGCUGUGUCUGCCGGGCGUGUUAGGCGUUUGCGUCUGGUAGUGCCAAGGACGGUUGACUUUGUGGCCGAUCGUCCAUUUCUCUUCUUGAUCAAGGAAGAAUUGACCGGAACUGUGCUUUUCAUCGGGCACGUACUCAAUCCUCUUGCAGACUGAGCGUUGUUAUUCCCUGUAAAAGGCAAAUGUAUACGUAGAACUACACGAGAUUAUAUAUAAAAUGUAUGAUCAUCUCUAUUAAAAUAAAUGUAUGAUCAUCAUGUUCACGUCGUCUUGUUUAUAUAUAUAAAUGUAUGAUCAUCUGUGUUAAAAUAAAUGUAUGAUCUUCAUGUUCAUGUCGUCUUGUUUCUCUCAUAUGGCUUUUGUUGUUCGUUCUGCCAUGGCUAUACCUACCCGAAACUGUUGGAAAUGCUUUGGGGAUAGGCUUUUACCCAUUAAUGCUGGAAAUGUUUUUCUCCUUAAUUGUAUUGGGAACGGUUUGGACUAGAGGUUUUUCUUUUUAGUUAAGUGUCGGAUUGUCCCGGUGAAUAGUCAUUCCUUAACCAUUUGCAUGGGCUUAAAUUCUUUGUAAUUAGUUUAAAGCAACGUUGCUCUUGUAAUAAAAAAACAUUAUAAACCAAGUGCUCGGUAAUUAUUGCACGUUCAGUUAACAUGAAUCGGGACAAGUAAAGAAUCAUAGAACUUACGAGCAGGGAAUGUACAGAGGGAAAAUUUAUCUUAUCAACUGGCCAUGUAAUUUACAUAAUUCUUGAAUUUUAGGUUAAGUUAUAUUUUGUAGAUCAGGCGUAAGUUGAUUUUUUUUUUAAAUUAUUAAAGAAAUCAAUCAUCAAUUAUCACAUAAUGUGAUUUGUAAAAUAUUGUUCGAGUAGAUAGUCUCUCGAGAAUGACUCAAACUUUAUAAUGAUUUUGAUUUUUAUUACAUAGUAAUCAUGUCAUUAAGGUCAAACUUUGAACAAACAUCCAUUUACAUAGCAAGCAUGUUAUUAUGGUGUAUGCUCAUCGUCGCUUUCAAACCUUGACAUGUGUCUUCUAACAUAACCAUAAUGAAAAUUAUACUUUCAAAUUUAUUUUUUUUAUUUUGAAAGGAUGUCAACUAGUGCCAAGCUAGGACUAGAAACACAAUUUGGCAACAACAUUCCAUAUUUACCCCUGCUUUUGCUGGCUGUAUCUCAAAAAUAUAUGGGCAGUCCUCCUAAUUUUCAUCUUCUUACCGGAAUCUCACCCCACAAAUCAAAUUACAGCCCACAACUGCCUAAUUUUUGUUAGUACCAAAAUCAAGAACCAAUAACAAUAUCUUAUUAUUCGUUGCAGUUUAAAUGACACUUGUUGAUGAGUUUUGUUGCAGUUAAAUUUCAGGAUAAUAUUAGAGAGACUAAAUUUGAAGAUGAAAUUUACAAAUUAAAUGUUAUGUCACCAAUAAAAAUGAGCAUGUUUAUUAACGUUUAAAUGAUAAACCAAUUAUCAACUUCUAUAUAUGUUUGAACCCGAUGUUACACCAUCGGUUCGAGUAAUCGAGGCUAUUGAAUAAGCAGAAUUUUAGAUCGUUGAAAUUAUUAGAAAAUCUGAGCAUGCACGAUAGUUAUAACGGUGAGAAAAGUUACGGUAAUAUUAGCGUACUUCUUACGUGGCCACGCCCAAAACGAAGUCGUGGCAACUCGCGCGAAUGCCACUGCUCCCUCUAUCGUCUUCUUUCCCGCUUGGCUUCGCAUUGAUCGUUUGAACCUGUAACCGAUCACCGAUCACCGACGACCGACACCGACUUUCCUAUUUUCUCGAUGGUGAGAAAGCAUACGGCCCAAUAUUAGCGUACUUCUUACGUGGCCACGCUCAAAACGAAGCGUGGCGACUCCCACGAAUGCCACUUCUCCCUCUAUUGUCUUCUUCCCCACUUGGCCUCGCAUUGAUCGUUUGAACCUGCAACCGAUGACCGACGACCGACACCGAGAUUUUCCCAAACCUUGGUCCUUACUCUCGUAUAAAUUAGAAACGAACAGCGGAACAAUUUUCUCGCAACCGGAAGCACAGCAAACAUGGAUCUGAGAGAAAGCAUCAUCAACCAAAACGACGUCGCAAGGAGGCUGACGAAGCAGCUGGUUCAGACCGAAGGCAAGCAGUCGAACCUCGUGUACUCGCCGCUGUCCAUCCACGUUGUGCUGAGCCUGAUCGCGGCCGGGUCAAAGGGUCCCACCCAGGAGCAGCUGCUGUCGUUCCUCAAGUCAAAGUCCACCGACCACCUCAACUCCUUCGCCUCCCAGCUCGUGUCCGUGAUCUUCUCCGACGGGUCCCCCGUGGGCGGCCCCAAGCUGGCGUUUGCGAAUGGGGUUUGGGUGCACAAGCCUCUCCCGCUGAAGCCUUCCUUCGAGCAGGUGGUGGACGCUUCUUACAAGGCCGCUCUUGCCCCAGUCGAUUUUCAGACCAAUGUAAGCUCCCAAACCCUCUGUCAUGUCGUAUCGAUAGUGUUUUUUUUCAAUGCUGCUCAUGAUCAAAGUCUUCAAUUUUUUUCGAUUUGAUUGGAGAUGUUUGUUCCUUUGUUGAACCUAAAUUGCAGGCCUGCUGAUGCUCUUUUAUUAUUGUAGCAUUUCAAAUAAAUAUUUCCUCUCUAAUCAUUACUGUUCGUGCUUGUUCUUCUGAAUAGCUUAGCUGUUACGAAAUCGUAUCGUAGAUUUUUUGUUCGUUACUGUUUGUGGUUGUAAUUGAUCGAGAUAUGCAGGCUGAUAUCAUUGUUUUCUAACUUGUCGUAACUGUUGUUGGUGCUCAAGGCUGCUCAAGUGGCGUCGGGAGUGAAUUCAUGGGCUGAAAAGGAGACGAGCGGCCUUAUCAAGGAUCUACUUCCUCCCGGGUCACUUGACAGCUCAACCAGGCUCAUCUUUACGAAUGCAUUGUACUUCAAGGGAGCUUGGAAUGAGAAAUUUGAUGCAUCAGCUACAAAAGAGCAUGACUUCCACCUUCUCGACGGGAGCACAGUUAAGGCGCCCUUCAUGACCAGCAAGAACAAGCAGUAUGUAAGUGCCUUUGACGGUUUCUCAGUCUUAGGGCUUCCUUACAGACAAGGUGAAGACAAGCGGCGCUUCUCCAUGCACAUCUUUCUUCCACAGGCGAAAGAUGGGCUGCCAGCUUUGGUUGAGAAACUUGGCUCUGAGUCCGGGUUUUUAGAUCGCUAUCUUCCCAAACAACCAGUUGCAGUGGGCGACUUCAGAAUCCCAAAGUUUAAGAUCUCAUUUGGGUUUGAAGCUUCCAAUGUCCUAAAGAGUCUGGGACUGGUGCUGCCUUUCGAGGGUGAAGGAGGUCUGACAGAGAUGGUGGACUCGCCCGAGGGUAAGAAGCUAUAUGUUUCUAGCAUAUUCCACAAGUCGUUCAUCGAAGUGAAUGAAGAAGGCACAGAAGCUGCAGCUGCUUCUGCCGGCGUUAUAAGUGAGAGGAGGAUGCCCAUGACAUUUGUGGCUGAUCGUCCAUUCCUCUUCACGAUCAGGGAAGAAACGACCGGAACAGUUCUGUUCAUCGGUAACCUGCUCAACCCUCUUGCCGGCUGAGUGUUACAACCCCCUGGGAAAGGGCAUCAGAUGUACGUAGAAUAAUACGCGCGAGACUGUAGUAAAUAAAAUGUAUGAUCCUUGUAUACAUGUACUAUGUUUGGUUAUUACCUAAUCACCCUGUACUUGCAGCAGUUGGUCUUGUUUCUCCCAUGUGGCGAUUUUUGUUUGUUCUCCCAUGGCGUUUAUCCAUGUGUAGAAUCUUGAUUCUGAAUACUUAUUUUAUGAUGUACUCUGUUUGAACAAUAAAAGUUUUAGCCGACUGCAAACGUCGGUUAGUGUUAAAGUAUUUAAUAUAUAGAAUGGACGAGUGCUAGUGUUGUACCAUACACAUGGUUGGUGAUGAAAAAGAUUAAACUUUGAAUAUUCUAUAAAAUAUUAUUUAACUUGGGACGAGGAUCUUCUUUGUGAGGAUCUUAUGAAUUAAUUUAUCUUAACGGUUCAUUGUACAUCGUGUGACCAUCUUUCAUUAGAUACUUUUUGUGUUAAAUUUUAAAUAAAUUCAAAAUAAUUUUUGGCUGCAGGAUGAUUGAUAAACAGAUAUGAUGCAUUGAUUCCUAAAGUCCUCACAAAGAGAAUCCGGAUGUUUAUAGUCCUCCAUGACUGGAGAUGGCCUAAGAUGCUAAACACUUAACACUACCCAAUUUUUCCAGUUAGUUAAAUUUUCACAAUUAGUGUAUUAAAUUGCUUAAGAAAUGUUAUCAGCACUCUAAAAUAAUUGACCAUAUUUUCUUGACUCUUUUGUUAAAUUGCAUGAAGAUUUUUUUGGAUAGUCAAUAAUAUCUCCCAAUUGCUUAACAUAGAAUUAAAUAGAGUAUCGCUAACUAGAGCAUGAUAUGUUUCUGUGUCUUUGAUGCCCUUUGCUCGAGAAAAUUUAGUAUAGGGUUUUCAUCACAAAUGGUCCCUGACAUUGAUCAAACACAUCAUUUUGGUCCCUGACAUUGAAAAUCAAUAGAAAUGGUCCCUGACAUUGAUCAAACACAUCAUUUUGGUCCCUGACAUUGAAAAUCAAUAGAAAUGGUCCCUGACAUUGAUCAAACACAUCACAAAUAGUCCUUCCGUUAAAAACGUUUUGGGCAAUUUUCAAAGCUUUGUAACUCAAUCGUUUCUUAACCAAAUUCGACCCAUAAUAUAUCAAAAUGAAGAUAGGAAAGUGUAGAACAAGAUUAUACCUAUUUGGAAACCCAAUGGUUGCCGGAGAUGGCCGGAAAACAGCCUCAAAUGUGACUGGUCCGCGAAAAAACUGGAAAACUCGCCUGAAAUGGGGUAAACUUUAAACAUUCAUAACUUCUUCAAUAAUCAACGAAAUCGAGUGAUUCAAAAAUGAAAAUCAUACUUCUCGACGAGACUAAGAGAAUGGUAGCUUUCUUGAUGGCUAACUCAUUGUAGUUUGGCCGGAAAAUGACUCGAAAUUGGCUAACUCGAAAAUGGUUAUCCAAGUUCGAGCCAUUUUCCGGUCAAACCACGGUAAAUUAGUAGUCAAUAAAGAUACCAUUAUCUUUCUCUCAUUGAGAAGUAUGAUUUUCAUUUUUGAAUCACUCAAUUUCAUUGAGUAUUGAAGAAGUUAUGAAUGUUUAAAGUUUACCCCAUUUCAGGCGAGUUUUUCAGUUUUUUCGCGGACCAGUCACAUUUGAGGCUGUUUUCCGGCCAUCUCCGGCAACCAUUGGGUUUCUAAAUAGGUAUAAUCUUGUUCUACACUUUCCUAUCUUCAUUUUGAUAUAUCAUGGGUCGAAUUUGGUUAAGAAACGAUUGAGUUACGAAGCUUUGAAAAUUGCCCAAAACGUUUUUAACGGAAGGACCAUUUGUGAUGUGUUUGAUCAAUGUCAGGGACCAUUUCUAUUGAUUUUCAAUGUCAGGGACCAAAAUGAUGUGUUUGAUCAAUGUCAGGGAUCAUUUGUGAUGAAAACCCUUUAGUAUAUGAACGACAAACUACGUGUUAUUACGGCCACAGACGAUAAUCCAGACUAUUUGUUUAAUACUUAAGCUUACUUGUGGUCCCAUUAUGUAAAAAAAUUUUGCAUUAGUCUGCACACAAGAAAUUUUUUAUUGGUUUCAGUUGAGCUCAAAUAAUAAUAAUCUGUUCGUGUAAAAGUUAAAAUUUAUCUUAUUAUGUAAUUGAUUUAAAAUACCGUAAAUACUGAUUUAAAAUUAUCUCAUUGUCAGCUUGUGUGUCAUUCUCGUAGAAUUUGGAAUUAUUCACAUUGUUUAGUAACGUAGGAUAUUUCAAGAAGCAUUUUUGCUCACUAUCAUUUAGUGUAAUGUAUAUUCAUCAUUCUAUUUAUCAUCGUUAGAUGAGUUUGAAUUUUAAGAUCCGUGUAGUGGAUAGACACAAAUUUCAAAAUUCAAUCUCAUCUAACGAUAAUAAAUAUGAUGAUGAACAUAAAUCAAAUAAAUGAUGAUGAAAAAAAAUACAUAGAUAUUUCAGUACAUGAAAACGUCACGUUAAUGAAAGGAGCUGGAGCGCCUGCUGCUGACCUCGGUCAAACAGACGGUGUGGGUUUCACGUGGCUGGCGCGAAAUCUAAACCGUUAAUUUAAUGUUAGUUAUCUCUCCCCUUGUCACGACUCCCAUGUAAUGCUGUAAAGUCACAAGCACCCAUCGUUUGGUUCUAAUAUUACAACAGUACCGCCCAUGGAAACACAAUCUUAAGCAAUCUCUAAUACUCAUAAUGUUGUUGAAGUUUUGCACUAAUAAUAGUUGCUAAACAGUGAUUAGACAGUCAGAUAAGAGACAGGGUUUAUGAUGUGAUUUGGACGUCCCAUCCUUUGCCACUUAAAAUGUCUUACCUACCAAACAUAUCUUGAAAAAUAAUUUAGCUUGGUACGAAGAAUCACAAUUUUUGUUUAUAAUUGACGAAAUCAAUCAAUGCAUGUUUUUUAUCAAAUCAAUAUUUAUUGGGAUAUUCAUCCUUAAAAUCUUCAUUUUGUUAUAAAACAACAAUAUAUUUAUUAUUUUUAAAAUUUUGUAAUACGUUUAUUUAAGUAGUGACUUUGAACGUUUUAAAAUUGAAAAAUCAAUAUUUAAAUGCAAAGUUGUCCGUUUUGAAUAAUCUCUAACAAUAUUUUCCUUCUCGUAAAUGAGUAAGAUUGGUUUAUUUUGUACACAAUUAGAUAUUGAGAGUUGAAAUUCUAAAUACUAAGUUCUUCUUAACAUAUUUUCGUAACCAUUUAAGAUGUUUGUAUAUUCGAAGAAUAUGGAAAAAUUGAAUCAACCCAGAUUAUUAUUAUGGCUGUCGACAUCUUUUAUCAGAGGAUAGCCAUCAAGUCACACCGCAUAUCCAGAAAGAGAAAUCCAUCCAAAAAAUAGGAAAACGAAAUGACAUUCCUUAUUUUCCUCCAUGGACGUCCCUUCUCUCCCCACCACGAAGGUCCCAGCUGAAAAGAAACGGAUGGCACAAUCGUGAUUAUCACAAACAGGAAUGUCAAAUUGUAGCAAGAGCAUGGUCAGCGCCGUUACAAAUAAGUGGAAGUUCCUCGGAAGAGUAAGAGAACGCGACAAUCAUAACGUAAUCUAUCUCUUCACUUUCUCAAUCCUUUUCUAUCUUUUUUUUCUUUCUGGGUUCCUUGUACUUCUCAUAAAUAUUAAGAGUUUAAUUCAAAAGAAAGGAACUUUCUCUUUCAUUGCUUACAUUUUUUUUUUCAGAUUAUUUACUUUCCCUUCCUUGCAGUUGCUUGGAAGAAACCAAGCUCAGAAGACCUUUGUUUUUUGAGAAUUCAGUUCAAUCCGUUUAUAUAUAUAUAUAUAUAUGGUGUUGAUGAUUUACCAGAAGUGAUAGUGCUUCAACCGAGAAGAAGAAGCUUUUAGUCUUCAGAAAUUCAGAGAAAAGAUAAGGAAGUGGAAGAGUGAAGGAAAAGCAAAUCAAAAGAUGGGAGAAACUGCUCCUCAUCCUCCACCACAGGUGGUUGCUCGGCCGUCUCAGAUGCCUCUUGGGGCAGCGAAGGGUCCCCAUUUGGACUCCAACUGAGCAGCUCCACAACCUUCAGUAUUGCAUCCACUCCAACCCCUCUUAGCGUUAGUCUCUCUCUGUUUCUGUUAAUUUCUUCGUUCUGGGUUUUAUAUUUUUUGAGUAAAAAGCUGAUUAAAGUUGUGCUAUUUUAAUGGGUUGGUUUAAAAGUUGAAGCUUUUGGCACUACUUCUUAUUUAGUUUACUAGUUUGCUUUUUAUUCCUAAUUUUGCAAAUUACUUUUACUAUUUUUGUUUCGGAUUCUCUAAUUUAUUGUGUUCGAAUCUUUUUAAGUACUGUAAUUAGUUCUAAUAAAAUAAUAAGCAUAUGUUCCAUUACCAGUUUCAACUUAUCCUGCUUACAAGACAUCGAUAUCACUCGAAAAUGUUUAGGAAGUGUAAACGUAAAUUUCCCAUGUUUAUCAAAUGCAACAAACUGCUUCUAAUGGAUCGAAUUUUACAGCGGAAACAUUCGUACUCGCUUUUCAGCACUAUAUUGUGAUGCUCGGAUCCAUAGUUAUAAUUGCCACUAGUUUCGUGCCUCGGAUGGGUGGGGAUCAUGUAAGUUAUGUCCUCUAUACAGUAAAGUUUAUAAUAUGCCGGUUAAGAUUAGCGAUCACACACGUAGCUUUGAAUCCGUGAUGUUAAUGUUUGGGUUUUGUUCUCCCUUUGUGAUCAGGGUGACAAGGCACGCGUGAUUCAGACGAUGCUGUUUAUGGCAGCAAUAAACACUUUGAUCCAAACAUUCACGGGACAAGGCUUCCAACAGUGAUGACUUCGUCAUUCGCUUUUACCCUUCCGGUGAUGUCAAUCAUCAAUGAUUAUUCUGAUCGGAAUUUUAGAAGUGAACAUGAGGUAUGUAAAGUUUGAAACAUGUUAUUCAUAGAGGAUUUAACAUCACAUUAAUUUACUUCUUAAAUUGCUUUAAGAAAUUUCAGUUAUAGACUUUGAGAUGAAAAAUACGUGGUGCAAAAAACGUGUAAACCUUACAUACCUGUAGAAGACGUCAUGAUGAAUUUCUGGUUUUGAGGACGGAAUAGAUUGAAGCACGUCCAUGCACUGUUGCGUCAUAUGCAACAAACUGAUGGGGAGUUCUAGGGUUGUGGCAUUAGCAAUGUGACAGGGACCUCAAACUUACAUAGGCCUCACGUCCCUAGAACCCUACCCACUAAUGGAGACUAGAAACUCUUAUGAUCCUCUAACGAGAAUAAUAAAGCCAAUGGAAAUGUUAGCACACAAUUGUUGUACAUAUAACAGACUUCGAGCAAUUUUUGGAACACGUAAAACAUUGUUAAGAAUAAGAUCAUGAGUAUUGGUUUUAAUGGUUGUUGCAUCAAUAUUCUUAAUGGAUAAACCUGUUCCAUUUCCAACUGUGAUUUUAUCAAAACCUUGGAAUGGUGUAACUUGAUUCAAUGUGGUGGCAUCAGCAGUGAUAUGAUGAGAUGCACCAGUAUCAACAAUCCAUGCAUCAUGAGGAAUAUAUUGUUCUAUCUGCUGUGUUGCCAUAGCUGUUAAGUUUGCAGGUGGUUGUUGGCCUUGAAAAACAUAAUUCCCUUUGUGAUAACAUUCAAGAGCUGAGUGACCUUUUUUUCCCACAAAUCUGACACUCCAUUUGAAAUCUAGUAUUUGGUGUAGUAGCAUUUCUGUGAAAACAAUUGACUGCAGUAUGCCCUUUCUUGUUGCAGAUUUGGCACUCAAUCACUGUUGUUGACCUGCUCUCUGUGUUUCCAUUCCACACAUUUGAACCAUUUGACCUUGAAUUGCCAUACGAAAAAUCAGAAGAGUUUCCUAUGUUGUAACCCUUGCUUUUGAAUCCACCAUUUGUCUUGUAAUUAUUGUUACCCUUGUAGUUUGAACCACCAAAAGGUUUCUGCAUGAAAUGAGGUAUUGGACCAGAAUUUGAUGCAUUAGCCAUAAACCCAAAACCAUAGGGAACUUGAGGAUAAACUGGACCAGGAAAUUGCGGAGACAUAGGAGGUUGAGGCAUAUGAGGUUGCUGUGGAUAUUGUUGUGGCAAGACAAAUGGCUGUGGUUAUUGUGGCUGUGGAUAUUGUUGUGGAUAUUGCUGUGGUAAAACAAAUGGCUCAGCAGAAUAUGGAUAUGGAUUAGGAGUUAUAACACCACCAGUGGUUGCAGGUAAAUGACUAUGCCCUGCAGGAUUAGACCCUGAAGCAAAUGAAUUUCCCUGAGUUGACUAAGAACCCUAAACAUAUAAGGCAGAUAGACUUUGAGACCCAACACUUGUGUCUCAUUCAAUCUCUUUUUCAGCUCUAAAUUUUUUCAAGGAAAUGGAUGAUUCUUUGCCAUAUAUCACAGUUCGAAUAGUUGCAUACUCCUUCGGCAAACCAGCUAAACCAGCAAUUAUAACAUCAUUAUCAGAAAUGAACUCUCCAGUAGCAGUUAAUUGUUCUCUUAUACUCUUCAAUCUUAACAGAUAUUUAUCCAUCAAAUCUCCUCAUUUUUGAAUGGUGUACAACUCAAUUUUUAAAUGAUUUACCCUAGUUUUAGACACUGAAGCAAAUCUAUCCACAAGAUUCGACCAAGCCUCACAAGCAGUUAAACAUCCAAGAACAUAUUUAAUAGCCUCAUCAAACAAAGUAGCUAGUAAAAGACUUAGUAAUGGAUAUGUGGAUUCCCAUUCAACAUAUUCAGCAAGUUCAGAAGUAACUCCUCUCUUAGUAUCUAUUACAAAUUUUUGUGGACAACCAAUAGUGCCAUCAAAAUGCCCAAACAAUUUAUGACCUUUCAACACAUAUUUGAACUGAAAAGCCCAUUUCACAAAAUUAUCAUCCUUCAACUUUAUUGUGAUCAUUCCCAGUUUCAACUUUAACACUUGAAGUAGUCAUGAUUUCUUGAUCGAACACAUAGAAUUUGCAAAUAACAAACAAACACCCAAAAAUUUCUGAUAUACGUAUUGAAAGGAAAGACUGAAACUUUCUCACAACCCAAGCAAGACUGAAACUCGCUUAAUACUCAGGAAAAACUGAAACUUUCUUGAUGAAUCUUGCACACAAAUACAACACACAAUUCCAAUUCGGAAAAGAAAACACAAAAUCUUCUAAUCAGGACUGAAACCCAAUUACUCAACAGAAAUUCACACUAUCACUUGAAUUGCAGCUGUGAUUGCAGCCACAAAUAGCCAGAAUACCAACCGCCAGAAAGAACAACAAGGAUCUGCAAUCGCCAGAACUUUUGAACAAACCCGUUGAAAAGACCUUUCAGAAUCCUUGAACUGGAUAGCAGCGAAAGAACUAGGAUCGAAAACGGUAGUGAACCAUGGUCAGCGAUGAUACCAUAUUAACAGUGUUGAAUUGUGGCCAAGUGGCCAUCACCUUUCGGCUAAUAAACAAACAAAGAAAAGAAAAAGAAAGACAAAAUGAUGAGGAAACAUCAUGAUGAGGAGGCAUCAUGAUUAUGCUUUCUUGUAGUUUUUUAAUAACCAUAAUUAUUGUUUUUGUUUCGGGUAGAAGAGAAGAAAGGGAGAGCUCAUUUUUUAGAAGAAAGCAUAUUAAAGAGAGAAGAGGAGAGAGAGAAGGUAGAGCCUUUUGGUUAUAAAAGGCAUUCGAUUAUGCCUUUGGAUGUGGGAGGGGGGGGAGCGGCAGAUGAGAGAGCACAGGGAGAGCAUUCGGCUCUCCCAUUUGAAUAUGAGCUGCUCCUUCCCACCAUUUGUAAUAAUCCCAUUUUGUUAGUAAUCACUCAAUCAAAGAUGUUGGUGCUACUUGUGUAGCUUUUGGGAGAGAAGGAUUUUGAUAUGUGUUUCUUCUUCUCCAUUUGUUUCUUAGUUUGAGUGAGAGCUAUUGGGUGUAUGUGGGAUUUGGGUUUGAGUGUUGAACUCUAUUUGUAAUCUCCUUUUGAUAUUAAUGGAAUUUCCUCGCCGUCUCGGAACUGGAUGUAGGCUUACGCCAAACCAGUAUAAAAAUCCUUGUGUCUUUUGGAUUAUUUGUCUUGUCAUAUUUUGCCGUUAUUAGCUUUGAUUUCAUAUUUGAAGCUUCCGCACAACAAGUGGUAUCAAAGCUCCGGGUUUCGACUUGGAGGCUUUGUACUAGUAUGUCUAUGAAAUCUUCAAAUGACGGUGAAAUAUGUUUUUUGGAAAAAUUCGACUGGAGGAAUGACUUUGGCAUUUGGUCAAUUGGAGAUGCAGAGUUUGGCUGCAAAAUGCGUGGCGUUGAAGAAGGAUAGUAAGGGACUAUGCUGCAGUCAUUGAGCUUGCAGAUUGGAGAAUGGUUUCGGAAACAGCGUGUCUGCUGCAAUGUUGCCGUCGAUGUUGUUGAAGUGUUGGUGUUCGACAGCUGCAGAUGUAGUGUACUGCUUUUGGUGGGUUCUCUGUUGGUCAUCGCUGCACCGGAGGUGUUUGUGGGCUGUUGUCGACGAGUUGAGUGGGAAGGAGAAAAGGUAGAAGCAGUUGAAAAUUGAAAAGAAAAUGUUGGUUCUUUUUCUUUCGGCAUUUGUUUUGGCAGAAGGACAUCAUGAUGACAAAUGAUGUUGUUGGCUGGAAGAAAAGGGAAAAAGGCUAAGGCUAAGUUUUCUUUUCUUUGGCAUUUUUUCAACGGCAGAAAAUUUUUGGUUCUUUUUUCACUCCCAUUAGUUGCCUUUGGAGCAAGUUGAUGGAAACAUUGGAGGAGUUUGUGAGGGCCAAUUUGUUGAGUUCUGCAAGUUUGGAUAGUGAGGCACCACACUAUUUUGGAUACACCACAUGCACUGCAGAACAUUUGUGUGGAACCCUCUUGUAGAAGGCAAGUUAUAUGCUUUCUAACUUUGUUUGGUCUAUGGACAUUUAGUUGGAUUUGUUUGCCACUGCUAUUUGGUUUGUUGGUCUCCAUCAUCUGCAAUUAGUUUUCUUGAAGACUCCAGUUGAGGUAUGGUUUUGGAUCUCCUGCUGAUUAUUUGAAUUUGAAAUUUUUGGUUGUCCUGUUGGUGCUCAUGUGAUGAUGGUAAACUUGAGUGGAGGGCAUAGUUUUUUUGUAUGUGGUAUGUUAGACCUUGUUGCCAAAUUUGUAAUCAGUUUUGACUUGGAGAAUAUGCCGUGCUAUUUGAAUGAGUCUAUUGAUGCAGUUUAAGACCAUGGUGUUUGUAAGCAGGUGGAGUUCGUUCUGUGUCCAACUUUGGUAUGGUGUGCUUGAUCUUUUGUUAGUGAUAUUGAAGAAUUUCAGUUCUUCGUUUGAAUCACUUUUGUUUUGAUCAAGGCACUUAUGGUUUGCAAAUUUGGAGAAUACGGUAGAGAAAUGGUCUACUUUUGUUGGCUUUGGUAUAAUUUGAGUCGAGGUGGAGAUCAUUAUGAGUACCGGAAAGUUUGGGGAAUUUGAUUUAGUUCCCGUUGUCUUUAGUUUGUACUUUGGGUGAUUAUGGUGAUUGUUGAUUCGAUUCUCUGUGAUGGUUUCGGAACUUGGCCAAGGUGGAGAUUGUUGAAUUGUGGCCAAGUGGCCAUCAUCGGCUAAUAAACAAACAAAAGAAAAGAAAAAGAAAGACAAAAUGAUGAGGAAACAUCAUGAUGAGGAGGCAUCAUGAUUAUGCUUUCUUCUUUUGUGGUUUUUUAAUAACCAUAAUUAUUGUUUGUUUAUUAGCCGAAAGGUGAUGGCCACUUGGCCACAAUUCAACAAUCUCCACCUUGGCCAAGUUCCGAAACCAUCACAGAGAAUCGAAUCAACAAUCACCAUAAUCACCCAAAGUACAAACUAAAGACAACGGGAACUAAAUCAAAUUCCCCAAACUUUCCGAUACUCAUAAUGAUCUCCACCUUGACUCAAAUUGUACCAAAGCCAACAAAAGUAGACCACUUCUCUACCGUCUUCUCCAAAUUUAAAUCCUAUGAAGAAAGGGAGAGCUCAUUUUUUAGAAGAAAGCAGAUUGAAGAGAGAAGAGGAGAGAGAAGGUAGAACCUUUUGGUUAUAAAAGGCAUUCGAUUAUGCCUUUGGAUGUGGGGAGAGCGGCAGAUGAGAGAGCACAGGGAGAGCAUUCGGCUCUCCCAUUUGAAUAUGAGUUGCUCCUUCCCACCAUUUGUAAUAAUCCAAUUUUGUUAGUAAUCACUCAAUCAAAGAUGUUGGUGCUACUUGUGUAGCUUUUGGGAGAGAAGGAUUUUGAUAUGUGUUUCUUCUUCUCCAUUUGUUUCUUAGUUUGAGUGAGAGCUAUUGGGUGUAUGUGGGAUUUGGGUUUGAGUGUUGAACUCUAUUUGUAAUCUUCUUUUGAUAUUAGUGGAAUUUCCUCGCCGUCUCGGAACUGGAUGUAGGCUUAUGCCGAACCAGUAUAAAAAUCCUUGUGUCUUUUGGAUUAUUUGUCUUGUCAUAUUUUGCCAUUAUUAGCUUUGGUUUCAUAUUUGAAGCUUCAGCAAUACAAACAGUACAAGAUCAAUGAAUUCCUAUGAAUGAAUAAACUAAAGAAAUCGAAGAAAGAGAAUAACGAGAGAGAAAAGCUUUUCAUUUAUAUUGCUCUAACAGAAAAUGAUUACAUGAUAAAAAUCUAAGUCUCCAAAACAAUAAUUAUAUAGAGACUAGAAUGAGCAGAAUCACAAUAUUGCCUUUCUAACUAAUUCUUAUCUUCUAACAACCUCAACACUCACAAGCUUGACACUUGUCAUUUCUUACAACCACUCCUAACAAAUCCUAACUGUUUAUCUGGUUAAUAUAACGGAUGGCCGACGACCGACACCGAGAUUUUCCCAAACCUUGGUCCUUACUCUCGUAUAAAUUCGAAACGAACAGUAAACAAUUUUCUCGCAAUCGGAAGCACGGCAAACAUGGAUCUGAGAGAAAGCAUCAUCAACCAAAACGACGUCGCAAGGAGGCUGACGAAGCAGCUGGUUCAGACCGAAGGCAAGCAGUCGAACCUCGUGUACUCGCCGCUGUCCAUCCACGUGGUGCUGAGCCUGAUCGCAGCCGGGUCAAAGGGUCCCACCCAGGAGCAGCUGCUCUCAUUCCUCAAGUCAGAGUCCACCGACCACCUCAACUCCUUCGCCUCCCAGCUCCUGCCCUUUAUCUUCUCCGAUGGGUCCCCCGUGGGCGGCCCCAAGCUGGCGUUUGCGAAUGGCGUUUGGGUGCAGAAGCCUCUCCCUCUGAAGCCUUCCUUCAAGCAGGUGGUGGAAGCUUCUUACAGGGCCGCUCUCGUCCUAGUUGAUUUUCAGACCAAUGUAAGCUCCCAAACCCUCUGUCAUGUCGUUUCGAUUGUUUUUGUCGAUGCUGCUCAUGAUCAAAGUCUUUGGUUGUAAUUUCAGACCAAUGUUUCAAUGUCGAUGCUGCUGAUGCUCUUUUGUUCGUUACUGUUUUUGGUUGUAAUUGAUCGAGAUAUGCAGGUUGAUAUCAUUGUUUUCUAACUUGUCGUAACUGUUGUUGGUGCUCAAGGCUGCUCAAGUGGAGUCGGAAGUGAAUUCAUGGGCUGAAAAGGAGACGAGCGGCCUUAUCAAGGAUCUACUUCCUCCCGGGUCACUUGACAGCUUCACCAGGCUCAUCUUUACCAAUGCAUUAUACUUCAAGGGAGCUUGGAAUGAGAAAUUUGAUGCAACAGCUACAAAAGAGCAUGACUUCCACCUUCUCGACGGGAGCACAGUUAAGGCGCCCUUCAUGACCAACAAGAACCAGCAGUAUGUAAGUGCCUUUGACGGUUUCUCAGUCUUAGGGCUUCCUUACAAACAAGGUGAAGACAAGCGGCGCUUCUCCAUGCACAUCUUUCUUCCACAGGAGAAAGAUGGGCUGCCAGCUUUGGUUGAGAAACUUGGCUCUGAGUCCGGGUUUUUAGAUCGCUAUCUUCCCAAACAACCAGUUGCAGUGGGCGACUUCAGAAUCCCAAAGUUUAAGAUCUCAUUUGGGUUUGAAGCUUCCAAUGUCCUAAAGAGUCUGGGACUGGUGCUGCCUUUCGUGGGUGGAGGUCUGACAGAGAUGGUGGACUCGCCCGAGGGUAAGAAGCUAUAUGUUUCCAACAUAUUCCACAAGUCGUUCAUCGAAGUGAAUGAAGAAGGCACAGAAGCUGCAGCUGCUUCUGCCGGCGUUAUAAGUGAUAGGAGGAUGCCCAUGACAUUUGUGGCUGAUCGUCCGUUCCUCUUCACGAUCAGGGAAGAAACGACCGGAACAGUUCUGUUCAUCGGUAACCUGCUCAACCCUCUUGCCGGCUGAGUGUUACAAUCCCCUGGGAAAAGGCAUCAUGUGUACGUAGAAUAAUACGAGAGUAUAGUAAAUAAAAUGUAUGAUCCUUGUAUACAUGUGCUAGGUUUGGUUAUUACCUAAUCACCCUGUACUUGCCGCAGUUGGUCUUGUUUCUCCCAUGUGGCGAUUGUUGCUCGUUCUCCCAUGGCGUUUAUCUAUUUGUACAAUCUUGAUUCUGAAUACUUAUUUUAUGUUGUACUCUGUUUGAACAAUUAAAGUUUUAGCCGACUGCAAACGUCGGUUAAGUGUUAAAGUAUUUGGACAGGGAUUGUCUGCUUUUUCAUUUUUCGUGUCCUUCUGUUUUGUGUGUUCACAGUUAAACUACGUCAAUAUUUUAUAUUAUUUUUUUAUAGAAAUAAUAAGAUAAAAAUAAAUAAUAAUAUAAAAUAUUAACGUGACUUAACUGUAACCACACAAACAGGAGGGCACGGAAGACCACCGGAAGUGGAAGAGCGGACAUUCUUGUCCAAAGUAUUUAAUAUAUAGAAUGUACGAGUGCUAGUGCUGUACCAUAUACAUGGUUGGUGAUGAAAAGGAUUAAACUAUGAAUAUUCUAUAAAAUAUUAUUUACCCUAGGACGAGGAUUUUCUUUGGAUCUUCUUUACGAGGAUCUUAGGAAUUAAUUCAUUUUAACGGUUUAUUGUACAUCGUACGGUCAACUUUCGUUAGAUACUUUUUAUGUUUAAUUUUAAAUAAAUUCAAAAUAAUUUUUCACUGCAUGAUGCAUUGAUUCCUAAAGCACUCGCAAAGAGACUCCAGAUGUUUAGUUCUCCAUGACUGGAGAUGGCCUAAGAUGCUAAACACUUAACACUAACCAAUUUUUCCGGUUAGUUAAAUUGUUUAAUAAAUGCUAUCCACACUCUAAAAUAAUUGACCAUAUUUUCUUGACUCUUUUGUUAGAUUGCAUGAAAUAUUGUUCGAGUAAAUAAUCUCUCAAGUAUCACUCAGACUUCAUAAUGAUUUUGAUUUUGAUUACAUAGUAAGCAUGUCAUUAAGGUCAAAUUUUGAACAAACACCCAAUUACAUAGCACGCAUGUUAUUAUGGUGUAUGCUCAUUGUCACUUUCAAAACUUGACACCUGUCUACUAACAUAACCGAUGGCCGACGACCGACACCUUCCCAAACCUUGGUCCUUACCCUCGUAUAAAUUCGAAACGAACAGUAAACAAUUUUCUCGCAAUCGGAAGCACGGCAAACAUGGAUCUGAGAGAAAGCAUCAUCAACCAAAACGACGUCGCAAGGAGGCUGACGAAGCAGCUGGUUCAGACCGAAGGCAAGCAGUUGAACCUCGUGUACUCGCCGCUGUCCAUCCACGUGGUGCUGAGCCUGAUCACAGCCGGGUCAAAGGGUCCCACCCAGGAGCAGCUGCUCUCAUUCCUCAAGUCAAAGUCCACCGAUCACCUCAACUCCUUCGCCUCCCAGCUAGUGUCCGUGAUCUUCUCCGAUGGGUCCCCCGUGGGCGGCCCCAAGCUGGCGUUUGCGAAUGGGCUUUGGGUGCACAAGCCUCUCACGCUGAAGCCUUCCUUCAAGCAGGUGGUGGACGCUUCUUACAAGGCAGCUCUCGCCCUAGUCGAUUUUCAGACUAAUGUAAGCUCCCAAACCCUCUGUCAUGUCGUUUCGAUAGUUUUUUUUUCAAUGCUGCUCAUGAUCAAAGUCCUGAAUUUUUUUUCCCGAUUUGAUUAGAGAUGUAUAAAUAUUUCCUAAAUUGCAGGCCUGCUGAUGCUCUUUUAUUCUUGUAGCAUUUCAACUAAAUAUUUCCUCUCUAAUCAUUACUGUUUGUGCUUGUUCUUGUGCAUAGCCGUUACGAAAUCGUAUCGAAGAUUUUUUUGUUCGUUACUGUUUGUGGUUAUAAUCUAGGUAUUAAAUAUUGAUAAUAUCGGAAAUAUCGGUAGUCCAGAAACACGGAAAUAUUGAUGGAAAUAUCGGGAUAUUAUCGAUAUGUAUAAAAAUAAUAUGGAAACCACGGAAAUUGUAAGAAAAACUUGGAAAUUUUUAUUGAAACUUUGCAGGAUGUUUAUUUAGUCAAUUAUCUAUUAGUUUAUCACAAAAUAUUGGAAGGAAAUGUAUUACAUAAUAGAUUUAACUGAUUUAAGUUGAUUAUAUAGCGAACUAGCGAACUACCAAACAUUAUGAGUUAGAAAAUAUGUAGUAAUUAAUAAAAGAAGUUUAAACACACAGUCACCGACUAUUAAAAAUUGUACAUGUAAAAGCUGUAAAAGUUGAAUUAUUUAGAUGCUUUUUUUUCUUACAUGCCACCCACACACACACACACACAGACUCUCACACGCCAACACACACGCACACACAGAUCACACACACAUCACACACACAGACAGAGACUGAGGUCUCUCUUUCUCGAUCCUUCUCUCUUCUCUCUCGAUCCUUCUCCCUUCUCUUCGACAGAGACUGAGGUCUAUCUCUCUCUCGAUCCUUCUCUCUUCUCUCCCUUCUCCAUUCUCCCACACACACACCCAGAUCUCUCGAUCUCUCUUCUCCCUUCUCCCACACACACGCACAGAGACCUCGCCCCUCCCCCCUCGUCAUCGUCUCCACCGCAAAUCUAGGUCUUUGAACGUAAAUUGCAGGCCUGCUGAUGCUCUUUUAUUCUUGUAGCAUUUCAACUAAAUAUUUCCUCUCUAAUCAUUACUGUUUGUGCUUGUUCUUGUGCAUAGCCGUUACGAAAUCAUAUCGAAGAUUUUUUGUUUGUUACUAUUUGUGGUUAUAAUCUAGGUAUUAAAUAUUGGUAAUAUCGGUAGUCCAGAAACACGGAAAUAUUGAUGGAAAUAUCGGGAUAUUAUCGAUAUGUAUAAAAAUAAUAUGGAAACCACGGAAAUUGUAAGAAAAACUUGAAAAUUUUUAUUGAAACUUUGCAGGAUGUUUAUUUAGUCAAUUAUCUAUUAGUUUAUCACAAAAAAAUUGGAAGGAAAUGCAUUGCAUGAUAGAUUUAACUGAUUUAAGUUGAUUAUAUAGCGAACUAGCGAACUAGCAAACAUUAUGAGUGUAGAAAAUAUGUAGUAAUUAAUGAAAGAAGUUUAAACACACAGUCACCGACUAUUAAAAAUUGUACAUGUAAAAGCUGUAAAAGUUGAAUUAUUUAGAUGUUUUUUUUUCUUACAUGCCAUCCACACACACACACACACACAGACUCUCACACGCCAACACACACCACGCAUACACAGAUCACACACACAGACAGAGACUGAGGUCUCUCUCUCUCGAUCCUUCUCUCUUCUCUCUCGAUCAUUCUCCAUUCUCUCUCGACCUAGACUGACUCUCUCUCUCUCUCUCUCUCUCUCUCUCUCUCUCUCUCUCUCUCUUUCCCACACACACACAGAUCUUUCGAUCUCUCUUCUCCCUUCUCCCACACACACGCACAGAGACAUCGUCCUUCGUCAUCGUCAUCGUCUCCCACACACACGCACAGAGACCUCGCCCCUCGUCAUCGUCUCCACCGCAAAUCUAGGUCUUUGAACGUAAAUUGCAGGCCUGCUGAUGCUCUUUUAUUCUUGUAGCAUUUCAACUAAAUAUUUCCUCUCUAAUCAUUACUGUUUGUGCUUGUUCUUGUGCAUAGCCGUUACGAAAUCGUAUCGAAGAUUUUUUGUUCAUUACUGUUUGUGGUUAUAAUCUAGGUAUUAAAUAUUGGUAAUAUCGGAAAUAUCGGUAGUCCAGAAACAUGGAAAUAUUGAUGGAAAUAUCGGGAUAUUAUCGAUAUGUAGAAAAAUAAUAUGGAAACCACAAAAAUUGUAAGAAAAACUUGAAAAUUGUUAUUGAAACUUUGCAGGAUGUUUAUUUAGUCAAUUAUAUAUUAGUUUAUCACAAAAAAUUGGAAGGAAAUGCAUUGCAUGAUAGAUUUAACUGAUUUAAGUUGAUUAUAUAGCGAGCUAGCAAACAUUAUGAGUAGAAAAUAUGUAGUAAUUAAUGAAAGAAGUUUAAACACACAGUCACAGACUAUUAAAAAUUGUACAUGUAAAAGCUGUAAAAGUUGAAUUAUUUAGAUACUUUUUUUUCUUACACGCCACCCACCCACACACACACACACACUCUCACACGCCAACACACACGCACACACAUACACACAUCACACACAGACAGAGACUGAGGUCUCUCUUUCUCGAUCCUUCUCUCUUCUCUCUCGAUCAUUCUCCCUUCUCUCCGACAGAGACUGAGGUCUCUCUCUCUCUCUCGAUCCUUCGCUCUUCUCUCCCUUCUCCAUUCUCCCACACACACACACAGAGAUCUCUCGAUCUCUCUUCUCCCUUCUCCCACACACACGCACAGAGACAUCGUCCCUUGUCAUCGUCAUCGUCUCCCACACACACAUACACAGACCUCGCCCCUCGCCCCUCGUCAUCGUCUCCAUCGCAGAUCUAGGUCUUUGAAUGUCAAAGUUUCGAGCGCACCUCAAAUCCAGGCAAUCUGAUUCUGACGCUGUAGUCGUCGCCGCCACCACCAACUUCCUAAGCCAAGAAUGGAGAACCUGAUCUCGUUGGUGAACAAAAUCCAGAGGGCUUGUACUACUCUAGGGGACUAUGGCGAAGGUAGUGCAUUCGUCGUCGCCGUCGUCGCCAUCGCCGUCAGUGGUCAGAUCAACUCCCGGUCCCUCACCUUCUUACCUCUUCGAUUGAUUCAUGCAUAUGAAUUGUGGUUGUGUUUUCAAUCGCUCUGUAGCUUAGAUCUUGAUCUUAAUCAUGUUUUUGCAAGGUUUUUGGGAUGAAAUCGGCUCGGGAAUCGGCACACCCAUUUCCGGCGUUCUUCUCCGAGUAGCCAGUUCCAAAAAUAUCGUGAUAAUUUCGGAAAUAUUACGAUAUUAUCGAUAGUAUAGCUAUAUUUUGACGAAAACCCUUUGGAUACCUAUUAAAAUAUCGGUCCGGCGAAAAACCGAUAAUAUCGACGAUAUAUUGGCGAUUUUGUUCCUUGGUUAUAAUUGAUCGAGAUAUGCAGGCUGAUAUCAUUGUUUUCUAACUUGUCGUAACUGUUGUUGGUGCUCAAGGCUGCUCAAGUGGCGUCGGGAGUGAAUUCAUGGGCUGAAAAGGAGACGAGCGGCCUUAUCAAGGAUCUACUUCCUCCCAGGUCACUUGACAGCUCAACCAGGCUCAUCUUUACGAAUGCAUUGUACUUCAAAGGAGCUUGGACUGAGAAAUUUGAUGCAUCAGCUACAAAAGAGCAUGACUUCCACCUUCUCGACGGGAGCACAGUUAAGGCGCCCUUCAUGACCAGCAAGAGGAAGCAGUAUGUAAGUGCCUUUGACGGUUUCUCAGUCUUAGGGCUUCCUUACAAACAAGUUGAAGACAAGCGGCGCUUCUCCGUGCACAUCUUUCUUCCAGAGGAGAAAGAUGGGCUGCCAGCUUUGGUUGAGAAACUUGGCUCUGAGUCCGGGUUUUUGGAUCGAUAUCUUCCCAAACAACCAGUUGCAGUGGGCGACUUCAGAAUCCCAAAGUUUAAGAUCUCAUUUGGGUUUGAAGCUUCCAAUGUCCUAAAGAGUCUGGGACUGGUGCUGCCUUUCGAGGGUGAAGGAGGUCUGACAGAGAUGGUGGACUCGCCCGAGGGUAAGAAGCUAUAUGUUUCCAGCAUAUUUCACAAGUCGUUCAUCGAAGUGAAUGAAGAAGGCACAGAAGCUGCAGCUGCUUCUGCCGGCGUUAUAAGUCAGAGGAGUAUGCCCAUGACAUUUGUGGCUGAUCAUCCAUUCCUCUUCACGAUCAGGGAAGAAACCACAGGAACAGUUCUGUUCAUCGGUAACCUGCUCAACCCUCUUGCCGGCUGAGUGUUACAAUCCCCUGGGAAAAGGCAUCAUGUGUACGUAGAAUAAUACGAGACUAUAGUAAAUAAAAUGUAUGAUCCUUGUAUACAUGUGCUAGGUUUGGUUAUUACCUAAUCACCCUGUACUUGCCGCAGUUGGUCUUGUUUCUCCCAUGUGGCGAUUGUUGUUCGUUCUCCCAUAUGGCGUUUAUCUAUUUGUAGAAUCUUGAUUCUAAAUACUUAUUUUAUGUUGUACUCUGUUUGAACAAUU